RNAcentral lists this long non-coding RNA (569 nucleotides) under Vitis vinifera (wine grape). RNAcentral's name for it is "long non-coding RNA (VVIN_LNC008185)". Lineage: Eukaryota; Viridiplantae; Streptophyta; Magnoliopsida; Vitales; Vitaceae. The record is from RNAcentral.
UUAUGGAACAGUUGUUUGUACAACAUAGACUCGGGGUCAUAUAUGUAGAACCAUAUAUAAUAAUAUAGACUUGAAAACUAAAAACAAUCCGCUAUCCAUUAUAUGCAUUGUAUAGACUAGUUUGAAAGUUGAUAAUCCCUCUCAAGUCAAGAAAAAUGUCAAAGAAACGGAAAAGUGCAAGUUUCCCAGAUGAAGAGACGAAGAAAAAGAUGAAGCUUGAUAUAUCUUCAUCAAGCGGAUCGAUCUCUGACGUUAAACAAGAAGAAGAUGGCUCAGAAGAGGGUGUUAUUGAUCCACCAGCAAGUGCAGUAGUUGAUAGCCAAGGCAGCUUGAGCCCAUUAAUGGAGAAUAAACCCAGGUCUUUACAAGAAACAGAAAUUCAGAAUUUUCUUUAAUGAAUAUUUUUGUGCACAUUCUCUCUUUUAACCUCUGCUUGGUUGCCAAGAAAUGGAAAUUAAGAAUUAUGCUACAUUAAUCAUGGCCUCUCUAUUUGUUGUUUCAAUUUUUUCCUUACUUUUUUCUUAACAACCAAACACAGGAGUAGGUUAAUUCGGUUCCUUUCUGCAGGG